AAUGGGGGAAACCCUGAUCCAGCCAUGCCGCGUGUGUGAAGAAGGCCUUCGGGUUGUAAAGCACUUUAAGCGGGGAGGAAGGCCUUGAGACUAAUACUCUUGAGGAUUGACGUUACCCGCAGAAUAAGCACCGGCUAACUCUGUGCCAGCAGCCGCGGUAAUACAGAGGGUGCAAGCGUUAAUCGGAAUUACUGGGCGUAAAGCGCGCGUAGGCGGUUUGUUAAGUCGGAUGUGAAAUCCCCGGGCUCAACCUGGGCACGGCAUCCGAUACUGGCUGACUAGAGUGUGGGAGAGGAAGGUAGAAUUCCAGGUGUAGCGGUGAAAUGCGUAGAGAUCUGGAGGAAUACCGAUGGCGAAGGCAGCCUUCUGGCCUAACACUGACGCUGAGGUGCGAAAGCAUGGGGAGCAAA
Molecule: ribosomal RNA, 410 nt
Filed under: uncultured bacterium
Lineage: Bacteria
Description: bacterial SSU rRNA
Rfam family: Bacterial small subunit ribosomal RNA
Source: RNAcentral